Molecule: ribosomal RNA, 460 nt
Filed under: uncultured bacterium
Lineage: Bacteria
Description: partial 16S ribosomal RNA
Rfam family: Bacterial small subunit ribosomal RNA
Source: RNAcentral
CCUACGGGUGGCAGCAGUGAGGAAUAUUGGUCAAUGGGCGGGAGCCUGAACCAGCCAAGUCGCGUGAGGGAAGACGGUCCUAUGGAUUGUAAACCUCUUUAGGCGGGGAGAAAUGCCGGGCACGCGUGCACGGAGGGAGAGUACCCGCAGAAUAAGCCUCGGCUAACUCCGUGCCAGCAGCCGCGGUAAUACGGAGGAUGCGAGCUUUAUCCGGUUGUUUUGGGUUUAAAGGGUGCGUAGGCGGAUUUUAAAGUCAGCGGUAAAAUGUCCGGACACAACCCGGGCCGGCCGUUGAAACUGGGGAUCUUGAGUGGGCGCGAAGUAUGCGGAAUGCGUGGUGUAGCGGUGAAAUGCAUAGAUAUCACGCAGAACUCCGAUUGCGAAGGCAGCAUGCCGGCGCCCGACUGACGCUGAGGCACGAAAGCGUGGGGAUCGAACAGGAUUAGAUACCCGGGUAGUC